ACUUGAGAGAGUUUUGCCUGCAUUUGCGACGACAUGGAUCAGACCCUUAUUUUCACGUGGAUUGCCCGAUGUGUCGCAAGAAGUUCACCACUGUUCGGUAUUGGAAAGAUCAUGUUUUGUCUAGAAAGUGUUCUCCGGUUGAAGCUGCUGGUUGUGCUUCAAAUGCUCCAGAGACAUCUUCGUCUCAAAAUCAACAAGAAACUGGUGUCGAGAUUGAUUCUGACUCUGGUGACAAGGUUGAAGACGACCCUGGUGCUCACGAUGUGAGAAAACAACUGUUAGGACUCAUAAUCAAACUCCGCGCCCAAAAUGUGACCGAAAAUAGCUGCCAUGCUGUGCUGGAGUUCAUUGAGGACUUUUCGAAAGAAGUCAUCCAAGAGUGUCUGAGCUUAUGUGGGGAGGCACCAUGCUGCCAUCUUGAAGAAUAUUAUCAUAAACUCAAGACUCUGAAUGAGCUGAGCAAGUUACAGGGUAGCGACCACCUAGAACGCACAGCUGUCAAGGAGUUUGAAACGGUUGAUCCUGUAUCUGUGACAUUGGGCACAGACGAACAUGGGAAAGAUGAAACGCUCCAAUACUUGCCAGUUACACCUCAGCUUAAACAACUCUGCGAGCAAGUGAAUGCUUGCGAAGAUGCAACUGCAUCACCAGAUGGGAUACUUGGUGGCCUUCAGGAUGGAUACGUCCAUAACAAUAAUAACAGCGAAGGUCGUUUGCUUCUUUCAGUCUACUAUGACAGUUUUCAAGUAGGCAACCCCUUGGGCAGCAGAGCAAAGAACCAGAAAGUGGGCGUUGUUUAUUUUUCAGUGAACAGUCUUAAGAACAGCGCACUUCGCAACAAAAUCAUCCUUUCGGUAGUCUUUCGAGAGGCACUGCUGGCAACACAUUCAUGGGCAACACUGCUCGACCCACUCAUCACCGAACUUAAAGAGCUUGAAUCAAGCGGUUUUGUGGCAAACAUUCGUGGUGGCUCGCAUUUUACUGCACACGUUGCAGUGUUGAUCGGUGACAAUCUGGGCGUACACAGUGUGGCGGGCUUUUCACAGUGCUUCAGUGGGGGUGCAAUGAUUUGCCGACACUGUCAUGGAACGGCAGAUGAGAUACGAACAAAGACGAAGCUGGAAGAGUUUGACCUCCGUUCCAAAGAAGAUUAUGACUCCAAAGUGAAGCUUUUGCUUGAAGAAGGUUUCGGUGAAUCACUCUCGAAAGCGUACGGCAUCCGAAGCACGUGUCCGUUCAGCUCAUUGACGGGCUUUCACCCGAUGACGUCGAUACCCCCUGAUGUGAUGCAUGAUCUUCUAGAGGGCGUUGUGCCGUCCACCAUUGCUCUGGUGUGCGGUGGUUUGAGCUCUCGCGGUGAUUUGUCUCUGAACGAUGUGAACAGAGCUAUCAGGUCAUUCCCAUACAGUCAGGUGGACACAAAUCAUCCCGCCCCGUUACGCCGUGAUGGAAAGGGUAUAACUGUGAAGCAGCAGGCGAGUGAGGCUUGGUGUCUUCUGAGGCUUUUGCCAUUGAUUCUCCUGAGUGCAGGUGUUCUCUCAUCGGCUGUGUCUGGGAGCAAGAUGUACUCCCUGCUCGUGCAGUUAAUCAAAAUCAUGCUCCUACUCACUGUCUUCACGGUGUCACUGCAAGACUUGGAUAUCCUGCAAGGGAUGGUGGAAAAGUUUUUGACAGACCUUCUCGCAUGCUUUCCGGAGUUCAAACUGACGCCGAAGCAUCAUUUCCUCUUACACUAUGCCGAUCAAACGAGGAGACAUGGCCCAUUGAGGUAUCUAUGGAGCAUGAGAUACGAAGCCAAACAUCAAACCUUGAAGCGGUCUGUGGCAAACUCGCGCAAUCGUAAAAAUAUAUGCAAGAGCAUCGCAACUCGUUAUCAGCUGAAGAGUGUCGCAGAUGCAAUGGAACUACGCGGUCGUAUGAGCGGCGGGCAACCUUUCAGGGGAGAGGUUCCGGAAGCGGCUGCUGCAUUGACGAGAGGGGCACAGCUUUUCAAAAAGGCGCUAAUAAACGGCGAGAAGUACUGCGCGGGUGAAGCUCUGCUGCUGCACACUGGUGUCGCUGUGAUUAUCUGCAUUUGCAAACAUCCAAGCAGCGUUGAGUCGGACAAACAAUUCCUGGUGCAGCACCAGGUGGCCAUUUAUGACACAUCCUUGGGAGCUUUUAUCAUUUCUGGAACAGAUCAAUAUGAUGUAUUCGACUGUGCGAGUCUCGUUGAUCCCCAGCCCCUCGGCACGUACUGGAUCAAUGACCACCACUAUGCCGUUCCUCGGAGGCUGAUACCCGGCUACGGGAUGCUGUAGAACGAUAGGACCACGAUCGCCAUGCUGACCUACGUGGUGCAGCAACACGACAUCAACCGACUUGUGACUGUGAAGAAUAAGGGUGAUGUUUUGGCGGCCGCAAAAGAGGCGUUUUCUCUGUCUGGCAGUUAUUGCUUAGAGCUUUACCACAAGGAGUCCGAAUUGUAUGUUCGCAUCGAUAACCCAGUAGACGACCUACCAUGUGGCGGACGGAUUCGCCUUGUCCCCGUCCAAGUCUCCAGCCCACCAGUGUCAUUCAUCCAAAGAUGUCUCAGCACGGCCGACACCAUCCCCGUCCUGACGAUGACAGCUUCUCCUGGCGCCUUGGGAACUCCCUCCUGUUCCAAGGAUUCAGCAGUGAUCGAUGACCUUUUGGUGCCAUGCUCUUCCUCUGUGAGUUCUGCCGUCGGCGAAACGGCACAGGACCCGCUUGCUCUCACCGACGGCGGGACCAGUGACAACGAGUCCAGCAAGGACGCCGGGACCAGUGCGAG
This 2794-nucleotide unclassified non-coding RNA is filed under the name Amphibalanus amphitrite. RNAcentral describes it as "uncharacterized LOC122364900, transcript variant X2". Lineage: Eukaryota; Metazoa; Arthropoda; Thecostraca; Balanomorpha; Balanidae. The record is from RNAcentral.